Molecule: long non-coding RNA, 508 nt
Organism: Haliotis rufescens (red abalone)
Lineage: Eukaryota; Metazoa; Mollusca; Gastropoda; Lepetellida; Haliotidae
Exons: 2
Source: RefSeq, a predicted model, not a curated record
GGUCGGGGGAGAGACUCAUUAUUUGACGAUGUUAGCAAUCAUUAACAACGUACCUAUCAUCGUAGGCGAAGUCUGCAUCAAGGGUGUUGAGGUAGAGACACAGGGAGACGAGACACGCUGCUAAUACCGGUCCAGCGAGUCAACACAAUGAAGUACUAGUAUCCGGUGAUGGAUGUCUGGAGGAGCUUUCUGCUGACAGUAACACACUGGUUACAAUGUGCGUCCUGUCAAAGGACGAGGAAGUGAAAAGCCAUAUUCAUUCAAUCAACAAAUGUGCUUCCUGUCACAUUUCACUCAAAUAGGACGAGGAAGUGAAAAGCCUUAUUCACUCACAAAACAACAUGGCCAAUAUUAAUCAGACACUAAAAAAGCACAUUGUACCAUUUGUUUACAAGCAAGAAAAUUAUUUUCUCCUGGAAUUUAAUUAGGUGCUUUUGACUAACAAUGACACCUGGUCCAUGUUAAGUUUGGAAAACUUAUAUUGUGAGAAAUAAAGACAUGAAAAUUA